Molecule: ribosomal RNA, 210 nt
Filed under: uncultured bacterium
Lineage: Bacteria
Description: partial 16S ribosomal RNA
Rfam family: Bacterial small subunit ribosomal RNA
Source: RNAcentral
GUUCUCAGUUCGGAUCGGAGUCUGCAACCCGACUCCGUGAAGCUGGAUUCGCUAGUAAUCGCGCAUCAGCCACGGCGCGGUGAAUACGUUCCCGGGCCUUGUACACACCGCCCGUCAAGCCAUGAAAGCCGGGGGGUACCUGAAGUGCGUAACCGCGAGGAGCGCCCUAGGGUAAAACUGGUGAUUGGGGCUAAGUCGUAACAAGGUAUC